This 82-nucleotide transfer-messenger RNA is filed under the name Rhodospirillaceae bacterium. It matches the Rfam family "transfer-messenger RNA". Rfam says of the family: Bacterial tmRNA, also known as 10Sa RNA or SsrA, is named for its dual tRNA and mRNA-like properties. Its role is to liberate the mRNA from a stalled ribosome. Lineage: Bacteria; Pseudomonadati; Pseudomonadota; Alphaproteobacteria; Rhodospirillales; Rhodospirillaceae. The record is from RNAcentral.
GGGGGUGGAUAGGUUUCGACGUUGGUGAAAGCCGCAUGCGGAGCACCAGCGGACGGGGGUUCAACUCCCCCCACCUCCACAA